UACAGAGGGUGCAAGCGUUGUCCGGAAUUAUUGGGCGUAAAGAGCUCGUAGGCGGUCUGUCACGUCGGAUGUGAAAAUCCAGGGCUUAACCCUGGACCUGCAUUCGAUACGGGCAGACUAGAGUUCGGUAGGGGAGACUGGAAUUCCUGGUGUAGCGGUGAAAUGCGCAGAUAUCAGGAGGAACACCGGUGGCGAAGGCGGGUCUCUGGGCCGAUACUGACGCUGAGGCGCGAAAGCCAGGGGAGCAAACGGG
RNAcentral lists this ribosomal RNA (253 nucleotides) under uncultured bacterium. Its description in RNAcentral is "partial 16S ribosomal RNA". It matches the Rfam family "Bacterial small subunit ribosomal RNA", at positions 524 to 776 of the family's 1533-position model. The record is from RNAcentral.